RNAcentral lists this unclassified non-coding RNA (275 nucleotides) under uncultured bacterium. RNAcentral's name for it is "contains 16S-23S intergenic spacer region". The record is from RNAcentral.
UCCGGUUUGUCACCGGCAGUCUCCCUAGAGUUCCCGACCGAAUCGCUGGCAAAUAGGGACAAGGGUUGCGCUCGUUACGGAUUUAGCCCGGGUAAGGUUCUUCGCGUUGCAUCGAAUUAAGCCACAUGCUCCACCGCUUGUGCGGGCCCCCGUCAAUUCCUUUGAGUUUCAUUCUUGCGAACGUACUCCCCAGGUGGUAUGCUUACUGCGUUAACUGCGUCACCGAUCCGCAAGCGGACCAACAACUAGCAUACAUCGUUUACAGCGUGGACUAC